UAUAGGGACUAAAUAAACUUUUCUCUUUUUUUACAUAAACCUUAAAAUUUGAUUUUUUUUUAAUUUUUUUUUUUUUGGGAGGUACAAAUGAAAGAAUGAAGGUGAAAGAAGUGUAAAUCAUCAUCAGAGCAGGUGUGGCAAUCAAAGAUCGUGGUGUACACAAAACAUCUGAGCCCACCAUUUUAAAUCCCAUGACUCAUUAAAGCAGUAAGUAUCAUAUCACAUAUUCACAUUAUUCUGCCAAUGCUGCAGUACUUUAUGGCACGUGUAAUAUCAUCUGAUCGUGUGGGUGGGUUGGGUUUGUUGUUAAUUAUGCUCCUAAUCAAACUCAAAAAUGAACCUACAGCACCAGAAAAAAAAAAUAAUAAUAAUCAGCAAUAUUGGAUCCCAAAGGCAAAUUAAUUUGGUAGAAAUGAACGUCAUUUUACAAGUUCUCAUAAAGUGUUUGGGCAAGAUUACAUUUUCAUUAAUUAUUAUUAUUAUUAUUAUUGGGGUUGGAAAUUUUUCCAAAAAUACAAGGUAAUGUUAAGACGAUGGGUUUAAUGUUGGGUCUACUUCGCAAAAUAGAGUGGGAAAUUGAAAUCGGAAUCGGAAUCGGAAUUGUGGGGUCCACCAUAAUUUAGAAAUAUUCCCGAAAAUAAUUAUUUUGCCUCUCCAA
This 658-nucleotide long non-coding RNA is filed under the name Citrus x clementina. RNAcentral describes it as "Citrus clementina (C. clementina) long non-coding RNA (CCLE_LNC004653)". Lineage: Eukaryota; Viridiplantae; Streptophyta; Magnoliopsida; Sapindales; Rutaceae. The record is from RNAcentral.